Long non-coding RNA from Brassica napus (rape), 4888 nucleotides. RefSeq lists it as uncharacterized. NCBI's taxonomy places the organism in Eukaryota, Viridiplantae, Streptophyta, Magnoliopsida, Brassicales, Brassicaceae. The record is from RefSeq and is a predicted model, not a curated record. The transcript is spliced from 4 exons.
AUGACGUGGCAAUUUCAGGCUCUUUGAUUGGUUGAUUUUUUUAUCCUACGUGGACACCCUCUCCAUGGCUUAUAUUUGCCUUUUAGUAUAGUAUAGAUUUCAUAAGCAGUUUUAUCUCUGUAAUAUUUUGUUCUUCUGUAUUUUCCUUUUUUUAUGACUGAAAAUAUAUUUGAGGGGUGAUUUUGUAUUUUUUUAAAAAUAUAUAACAAAACAUGUUAUAUGCGUUUCAAACAAAGUCAUCAAAAAAAUAUACGUUAAGAAAGCAUGCAAACUCAUGCAAUUGAAAAAUGCCGCACUUUUAAUGUCUAGGAGAAGCUGAGUGGAUAAUAAGAAGCUAGCCUUCUCCACACCAGACGUUCAACCAGCCCAAUGAGAAAUCCAAGCUUUACUUGAUUUGUUGGAUCAACAGACUGCUAAUGUUAAAAAAGGGCAGCUUGAAAAAACUUUUUUUUAAUCUCAAUCAAAUAAUUUUUUAUUCAAAAUUACUUACGAAGUAUGUAAUUCAUUUAUUCUUAAAUUAGCAUGCAUAAUUAUUGAAAGCCAUUUUAUUUGUGACAUCACUUUUGCCUGGUUUAGUUUAUUGUGUAGCUGUAAUUUUCUUAUCCCGAACAUGUAGAAGAAGCAAUCGUUUAUAUCAGUGUUAAGUUGCAAAAUGGUCGUGAGUUGAGUGUUAACUAAGAUUUCGUACUUUCUGCAGCAAAAGAGCCUCGAGCGGUAUGACUUCUGGCUGAAGCAAAAAGAUCACCAGCCUAAAAAGACGCACAACAGAGACAUGAAUGCAUGAAAUACAUACCAACAAUUUAAGAUAACAGUUUAAAUGUGUCAUUCGCACUGUAGAGUCAUGUACAGUCAUUAAUUGUGUUGACAAAGAUCAAGUAUAUUUUAUAGAACCACAAAGCUGUAAAAUUAGUUACAAACCAUUUCAAGACUUUUUCUGUGUAAUAAUAAGGCGAAUUAUCUACAAAGACUGAGUAAAAUGAUAACAUAUUACCUUGUCAAGAAGGAGCUUAAACUCCACAAGUUCAUAGUGAAAGUGAUGCAACUUGUCAUUAUUAGCAUUGAUUUCAGAAAGUCCAACUCCUAAUUCUCCAAGCUUGGCCUGAAAAGGUGAAAAGAAAAGAAAUGUGUUCAGGAAUAAACCGACACUAGAUUUUGACCCGCGCGCCCGCGCGGGUAUUUAUUUAUUUUUAAUAUAUUUUUAAACUAUUUAACGAUAUUUUUAGAAGUAUAAUUUAUUUACAUGUUUUUGGUUUUUACAAUCUUUGACGGACAUAGGAUAGUCUGACUCUUUCCCAUUCUAGAAAUUUAUAAUAUCUUAACAGUACUAAAGCCCUAAAAACAUAAUAUCCAAAAAGACGGAUCGUAUUGUAACGGGUAUUCUGAUGUACUUGUCGAUCUGAUUUUGUAAGCAAAAUAUUUUUUUUUGGCACAAAUGAAACAUUAUUAUUAGAUUAUUCUUAUUAUUUUUUAUAACUUGUGUAGUUUGUUUUCAAAAUUGUAUAACUUGUGCAAUUUUUGUUUUAUAUGAAUUUGGACUAAUAAUAUAUGUACCACUUGUUUUGUUAUGAUUUUUUUCUAAAUUUUAGAACAUAUUGAAAAUUAUAAUUCAAAAAUAAAUUAUAUGAAAUGUUAUUAAUAAUAAAUUUGUUUUCUGAUAAUUAUAUUCUCUAACUAUUUAUAUGGGACUAAACUAAUUAAGAUAAUAAUAUAUAUACAAAAUAGUGUUUUUUUAAUAUUUAAAAUUACAUUUACGGAGUUUUAAUUUUUUUCACAAAAAAACAACAACCAUAAGAUGCUAUAUAAAAUAUAGUAUUCAUUAACUUUCUUUAUAUAAAAAAUGUAAAUGUCAAUUAUUUGCAAAAUUGGGCCAUACACAUAAACUUCCUAAAUUAUUUACACAUUACUUUAAAUAUGGCCCAUAUAAAAAUUGUAAUCAAUGUCCAUUAGCCCAGCAAAUUAUUCCGGGAAAGCAAAAACUAAAACAACAUUUUUUUUGCUUCUUCUUAUCUCGAUCUGUCGCUGCCUCUCUCUCUCUCUCUUUCUUAACUCUUCGUGUUCUUCAAUCCUUCAAACACCCAACUCAAAACAGAUUCUGAACUACUUUGAUUUCAUGUUCACUCUCAAUCCGGAUUAAAUACAAUCGAUCUAUUGUAUUACAGAUAUAGGUCAAAAAUAUACCAAUAUUGGCUGCACUCUCGAUUCAUUGAAGGUCGAUAUUGACCUCCUGCCCCAGUUAUUUUGACGGUGUCAACGACCUUCCAUUCACCAACAGGACGCACUCGAGAGUAUCACCAGAAAAACUGGUGCUUUGUUUCCACGAAUGAAGAAGUUUGAGGGUUAGACGCCAUUCAUCUCGGUAAGGUUUUAGAUCCUUAAUAAGACACAUUUUUUGAUCGUUUGACAUAUUUUGCUAUUUUGCUAUGAGAUUUCGAUGGGUGGUGUUAUAUUAUAGUAGAGGUAUAUAUAUAUGGGUGUAGAAAUUUAAUAAGAGCCUAAUUUAUGGUUAGGAUAGAUACAGAACCGAGAUUUGCUCAUUUCUGUUUUCAACGAAAUCGUAUAUAUGAAAAUAUAUCUUAUUCAAUAUUAGAUACUAUUAGAUACUAUUAAAAUUGUUUGCGCAAAACAUGGUAACAAAUUAGUAUAGAAUAUUUUGAGAUAUAUUCCCUUCCUCGAUCUGUUAGAUCUAUUAAGAUAUUCUCUUCCUCCCAAAUUUUUGGUAACUGAAUAAUUUGGUUGAUUAGCAAAAUAUUUUCGUUAAGAUGAUCACGCGCGGAUACGUGGAGAGAAAGAAUGUUCAAAACAGGAAGCAAGAUUCGAUUUUUUUUAAAAUUGGGCUUACGUAUCAGAAUUUUUAAAUGGGCCAAACCAAAUGUAUUGAAUUCGAUUGUAAAGCAUUUUUUUUAAAAAUUACUAAAGUGGAUCUAAUUAAACAUGUGUCCAAACACAUUUCAUUAAGAUUACUAAUCAAGUUUCCAAACAAACCCAUUUUGUACUUCAGUUUUAAUAAGAUAGAUGCGUAUGAAUUGUAGAUCAGUUACACAUAGUUGUAGAGACUAUUUGAUAUGUAGUUAAAUAAAUAAAAACAUAUAAGCAUUUCUCUGAAAAACCAGCAAUCAAAGAGCAUAAGUAUAACUACCUCCAACAAUUUUUGGGCUGACACAAUAACCUUUGGGUCUAGGCUGGAGCUCUGUAAUCUUCAAGAAACGCAACAGUCAUUGAAUCGAACGUACCAAGCCAACCCGAUACAUCCAUGUACAUGUGUAAAAUUUGCACUGAUGUUAAAAGUUUCAUUUUUUUUUAUGUGAGAAGAAACGACACUAAAGAAAGUUUUAGAAAUGAGAAUGAGGCUGACCUUUGAAUUUUAAUGGUUGAUUUGCUCCCGGUCAACUGACCAAUGAUGUCUGAACAAAAUAUAAAAAUAAUCAUAACAUCAGCGUGGAAUUUGAAUUCUCUGAUUUAGAACCAAAAUCUUAAAGACCAACCAGGAAGAUGAGUACUGGUGUUAGCCAAAGCAAGCAGAUUCUCUUCAUUGCAGAAACAACUCCAAUCGUCUCGGAUUGACCGAGUCGGUAAUCUCAGCAAAGGCGGUCUCAUCAUUGAACCGUAUGGAGAGCUUGGAAUCCGACAGCUUGAAGUUUGGGUUCUUACGUGUAAUGUCGAACCCAGUAACAGAGUACAUUGAGCCUGAAGGUGUUGAGCCAGUGUGCGUUAACAGAACUUUGAAUCAUUGUCGACUGUGAUAGGUCAAAAUCAAAAGGAAUUAUACUUUCCAUAUUGAAUUAAAAAAGGCAGUAAAAGCAGGAAGAAAGAUUAUAUGACUUUUUUCAAAACAAAAAAGGAGUUAUAUGACACCGGAAUUACCAAGGAGCAUGUCGACAGCCAUGAGACACAUAGGCCAUGAGUUCACCACCUUUCUUAAGGUUUCAGACUUCCCAUAAUCUAUGUAAUCGGACUCCGGCGGUGUUGGAAUAGCGCCCAGAUUUGAAGUCGGCGAGCAAAAUCGUUGGGACAGCCAUUCCUGGUGUGAGGGUUACUAAGGAUUCUAAUGAUGCUAGAAGGAGAAGCUGAUGAAUCUGACAGAUUCUGCUGCAGACUUAGCCUUUUCCGUCGCCUGUAAGAGAAAGAAUGUUCACCUAAAUAUGCUCUUGGAUUCACCGACUCCUAAUCAAAGCACGCAUUCAAGGCUAGAUCAUGAUGAUUGAAUUAAGGGAGAGUAACCACGAAGACAAAAGAAACAGAUGCUUUUCAGUGCUACAUACGAUAACAACGAAGAUGAAAAGUCUCUAUACAAUGAAGGGAGACGACAAUGUCAAAAGUUUAGGGCUUUUUAUCAAGUUACAGGCUUGCAUUAAAUCAACCGUAGCCCAACACUUGUUAAUGAAAGACAGCGCACAGGUUAGAGUGGACACCUGUAAUUCCAUCAGAAGCCAAAUUUCUGACGUGGCGGGUGACAUGGCGCAACAGAAAAGAAGCAAACCCUUCUUCAUAAUAAUACUAGGGAAAACCCGCCUUACAGGCGAGCAGCGAAUGAAUGAAUAAUAUAAAAGUAUCUUAAAUUGUAAUGAAAAUGUGAAACUAUAAACUAUUAUUAAUUAAAAUAACAUACACUUUAAUUAUUUGUUUUGUUAUUUUUAUUAGAGAAUUUUUUUCUAAUCAUUUUAAAUAAUUCGAUGAAAAUGAUAAUGGCUACAUUUGAUGUUUUAAUAUUUUUUUUUUACUUGGCUAUGAAAAUACGUUUACAAUUAGGUAUAAAAAUUAGAAAUAACUUUUUAUAGUUGUUUCAUUUCAUUUAUACAUAAUAUUUAAAUUAUUUAGGACGAUAAAUAUUUGUUAUAUUUAGUUCAUCCAUGAUCUAAAAUCCUUAGAUUAAGAUAUUGAAAUACUUUCA